RNAcentral lists this transfer RNA (55 nucleotides) under Phytophthora pseudosyringae. RNAcentral's name for it is "tRNA-Asn". It matches the Rfam family "tRNA", at positions 10 to 63 of the family's 71-position model. Rfam says of the family: Transfer RNA (tRNA) molecules are approximately 80 nucleotides in length. Their secondary structure includes four short double-helical elements and three loops (D, anti-codon, and T loops). Further hydrogen bonds mediate the characteristic L-shaped molecular structure. tRNAs have two regions of fundamental functional importance: the anti-codon, which is responsible for specific mRNA codon recognition, and the 3' end, to which the tRNAs corresponding amino acid is attached (by aminoacyl-tRNA synthetases). tRNAs cope with the degeneracy of the genetic code in two manners: having more than one tRNA (with a specific anti-codon) for a particular amino acid; and 'wobble' base-pairing, i.e. permitting non-standard base-pairing at the 3rd anti-codon position. Lineage: Eukaryota; Oomycota; Peronosporomycetes; Peronosporales; Peronosporaceae. The record is from RNAcentral.
GCUCAACGGUAGAGCAAAUGGCUGUUAACCAUUAGGUUGUAGGUUCAAAUCCUAU